Cornus florida is the source of this 825-nucleotide long non-coding RNA. RefSeq lists it as uncharacterized. NCBI's taxonomy places the organism in Eukaryota, Viridiplantae, Streptophyta, Magnoliopsida, Cornales, Cornaceae. The transcript has 2 exons. The record is from RefSeq and is a predicted model, not a curated record.
UGCUAGCUGGGUGGGAAAGCUCCGCUAAUGAUUCGAGAAUCCUAAAGGAGUGUAUUGAGAAUGAGGCAAUGAACUUUCCAGCUCCACCAGCAGGUAAUAUUAUCUUACAAAUUCACUUAAUAUAUGGUUAGUUUAUCAUACUGUAUAUAUCUUUAUGUAUUUUAAACAUGGCAGGUAAGUAUUAUUUAGUGGACUCAGGAUAUGCCAACAAGCCUGGUUAUUUGGCUCCAUUUCGAAGUCAUACUUACCACUUUCAGGAAUAUCGUAGGACUAGACAACCUCGUGGUCGGGAGGAAGUGUUCAAUCAUAGGCAUUCAUCUUUGAGAAAUAUAAUUGAGCGAUGCUUUGGGUUGUUGAAGAUGAGAUUCGCUAUUUUGAGGGCAAUGCCUCCUUAUAAGUUUUCAACACAAGUAUUGAUUGUAAUGGCUUGUUGCACAUUACACAAUUUCAUCAGAAAUCAGCAUCAGUCUGAUGAUUUAUUUGAUAGUAACGAUCCUCCUCAAAGUGAUGGUGAAGAUGAUGAGAUUGUUGAGCAUGUGCCUUCGGCUCAGCUUCGAGAAAUGGAUCAGUUGCGUAAUACUAUUGCUGAUCGAAUUUGGAAUUCUCUUUAGCACUUUUGAUCCUUCUGAAAGUGAUGAUAUGAAGUGUGUUGAUGCUCUCUUAAAGGCCACAUGUGCUGUUAUGAAGAUGAUGUGUCGUUGCCAUUGUCAUCCACUUUAUGAACUUCUUAUCAAUUUUUACUGACAACUAUGUAUUGUUAAUGCUUUGUUCCAAACAUUUUAUGUACAACUUAAACUUGUUUAAUUUGUUGGUUGAAUAUUUAAA